UGAGUAAAGUUCAGUACUUUUCUGUUUGAUCUUUUGGUUUCACCUUAACUUCUGUACAUUACACGAAUGUUUAAUCAGGAUGUAGGCAUUUUGGAUAUUAGAAAUGAAAAACAUGCUCAGUACUUAUAUCUGUGAGUGCCCCUCUGGUGGCCUGUAUCAGCAGGACAGUUUUUGAUGAGGGAAAGAAGCUAAAUUUUAUUGAUUUAAUUGAAUUUAAUUUUUUCUGUAAAAAGAUUGAUUUACAAUAACAGUAAUCUUUAAAAUUCAAAGCAACAACAGCAAUGAACAUAUGCACACAGCGUUCAAUUAAAGACACAUUUUUGUU
This 325-nucleotide long non-coding RNA is filed under the name Physcomitrium patens. RNAcentral describes it as "long non-coding RNA (PPAT_LNC008285)". The record is from RNAcentral. Lineage: Eukaryota; Viridiplantae; Streptophyta; Bryopsida; Funariales; Funariaceae.